UAUAAAAUUAAUAUGAAAACUUGUAUAAUCCUUCAUAUCGGGAAGGAGUCUCUACCUAACACCAAUGUUAGAUUAUGAGUUUUAUGGUUUUCGCU
RNAcentral lists this non-coding RNA (95 nucleotides) under Mesoplasma florum. RNAcentral's name for it is "Guanine sequence". It matches the Rfam family "Purine riboswitch aptamer". Rfam says of the family: Riboswitches are metabolite binding domains within certain messenger RNAs that serve as precision sensors for their corresponding targets. Lineage: Bacteria; Bacillati; Mycoplasmatota; Mollicutes; Entomoplasmatales; Entomoplasmataceae. RNAcentral also lists the same sequence under 1 other name. The record is from RNAcentral.